RNAcentral lists this ribosomal RNA (1508 nucleotides) under Triticum aestivum (bread wheat). RNAcentral's name for it is "partial small subunit ribosomal RNA". The record is from RNAcentral. Lineage: Eukaryota; Viridiplantae; Streptophyta; Magnoliopsida; Poales; Poaceae.
GAGGGGGUUAGGGGUGUCGGCGGUGUGGCCAGGAGGAGGGUGGAGGGAAGAGCGGCAGUACUGGGAGGCAAGACAAGAGGAGGUGGCGAGGAAGUGCAGCUGCACGAGCGUGGCUCAUGGCGCAGGUGGGGGUUAGGAGAAACAACGCGUUCUGGCGUCUUCCUGCUUGCCGUCGCCAGGCUCGCGGCGGAGGAGGCGGUCGCCGUUGCCACUUGUGCCCUCGUCGCCGGGGCAAGCGGGCAAGGUUCCACUCCUUGCCUGGGGGAGCUGGACAGGAGAUGCCGCGGCGAGGGGAAGGAGGCAAAGGAACUAGCGCCCGCCACCCUCCUAUGGGCCCCCUUGUCUCCUCCCUCAACCUGUUCCCGCACUUCUCCGUGUUCAGUUCGUCCUCCACCCGUAGUGGCCUCCUCGUGUUGGCGUACCCCUCGCCUCCUCCAGCUACGUCCCCCGCGUUAUCCUACCAACCUCUCGUGCGUUGUAGAACGCUGUGUUCAGCCGACGAUUCUUCUCCUACGUCGUCGCGACCGAGGAGGAGAGGGGUGCGACAGCGGAAGGACGCAGCAACAACGGCGGUGCCGGAACGAGCGGUAGCUGGAGGGGCUCACGAAGAGAGACGACGUAGGGGGAAAGGUGCUCAAGAACGGAAGUUGCGAUUCGACCCACCGGACUCUCGUAGUCCCAAUCCGGAGGUUUACCGAGAACAACCAACACUACCCCACUCUACAUCGCCUCCCACUCCUCCGGUUGUUGUCCCACUUCGUCGUCGGACCGCUCAUAACGCUCGUCGUACUCGUAGGGCCCACGUAUACACUCCGAUACCCUCAGGCAAAAAGUACACUACUACUCUCCUCAUACUGUCCUGUUGGUUAACAUGGUACACUUGUGUUAACGACCCCCUAUUCGACCAGUUACGCGCUUUUAGACUUUCUUUCGCUGAUUUUAGUUGUAAACUUCCAUGUAUUUACUUGUAUUCCAAAACUCAUGAUUUAUCUUCGCGAACCUAGACCCAGUCGGCCCUAGGCCAACAACGACGGUACCUCCUCGAGAGGUGGCCAUCUCACCGUUCCCGCUCGCGCACUCGGCGACCACCUCGAACUCUACGACCCCGUGCUGCCGCCACCAGACCAAGCUGCGCGCUGAGAUCCUGCGCUACCAGGCCAUACCGGCGGAGGUGUCCCGGCCCCUGUCCACGCGCGCGAGCGACGCCGCCCUUGCUCUCGACGGGGGUGAGGAAAACAAGGGGUAGCAGCCGGAGAGGAGUCGGAACCGGAACAACGAGCGCCUCCUCUCUCUCUUCCUCCGCCACUGCCGGUCUUCCUUACUCCCCCAGUCCCCUCCUCCGCCCCUAACCCCCUCCAGCUCCCUUUCUCCUCCGCCCCUAAGGAUUGUAACACAUACAUAUCACAUAAUAACCUCGAAACGAUGUAGACAUCCAAACUUAACUACCGAUCUUUAUGUCUCACGGUAAAACAGAAUACCUCACUAUUAAUUCGUCCGUAUGUGUCGAC